UACGUAGGGGGCUAGCGUUGUCCGGAAUCAUUGGGCGUAAAGCGCGCGUAGGCGGCCAGAUAAGUCCGGUGUGAAAGUCACAGGCUCAACCUGUGAAUGCCGCUGGAAACUGUCUGGCUUGAGUCCGGAAGGGGCGAGUGGAAUUCCCGGUGUAGUGGUGAAAUGCGUAGAUAUCGGGAGGAACACCAGUGGCGAAGGCGGCUUCUGGUCUGUUCUUGACGCUGAGGCGCGAAAGCCUAGGGUAGCAAACGGGAUUAAGAAACCCG
This 266-nucleotide ribosomal RNA is filed under the name uncultured bacterium. RNAcentral describes it as "partial 16S ribosomal RNA". It matches the Rfam family "Bacterial small subunit ribosomal RNA", at positions 524 to 789 of the family's 1533-position model. The record is from RNAcentral.